Molecule: long non-coding RNA, 371 nt
Filed under: Homo sapiens (human)
Lineage: Eukaryota; Metazoa; Chordata; Mammalia; Primates; Hominidae
Description: HSALNT0188886
Source: RNAcentral
CGCAAAGGCCUCAGCCACUUUCCGGUUCCGCCCUCCAUAGCAGGUAGUGAUCAGGUCAGCAACACCACAGCUCUCCAAGAAGGUGGCAGAGGACACAGGGCCACUGCAGAAGAGCUUGGCGAAGGCUAUCAUCUCCAUGAGUCCCAGCCGGAUCACUGCCGCCUUGGUGUUGUCGCCAAAGCCCAGGCCAUCACAGAAGCCAGCCCCCACGGCCACUACAUUCUCAGCCUCCCACAGACCACUCCUUUAUUGCACUGGCACUGAGAUGAAGGCUCCAGUGCCAGGCUGCCAGCUGGGAGCACUGAUUACGGGUGAUGGAAGAGAAAGGAUGCUUCUGUCCCUGGCACAAAUGAUGGGAGCCCCAAAGAAUG